UGGGGAAUUUUGGACAAUGGGCGCAAGCCUGAUCCAGCCAUGCCGCGUGCAGGAUGAAGGCCUUCGGGUUGUAAACUGCUUUUGUACGGAACGAAAAGGUGCCUUCUAAUAAAGGGCGCUCAUGACGGUACCGUAAGAAUAAGCACCGGCUAACUCCGUGCCAGCAGCCGCGGUAAUACGGAGGGUGCGAGCGUUAUCCGGAUUUACUGGGUUUAAAGGGUGCGUAGGUGGGCUUAUAAGUCAGUGGUGAAAUCUCCGAGCUUAACUUGGAAACUGCCGUUGNUACUAUAGGUCUUGAAUUAUCUGGAGGUAAGCGGAAUAUGUCAUGUAGCGGUGAAAUGCUUAGAUAUGACAUAGAACACCAAUUGCGAAGGCAGCUUACUACAUAUAAAUUGACGCUGAGGCACGAAAGCGUGGGGAUCAAACA
RNAcentral lists this ribosomal RNA (427 nucleotides) under uncultured bacterium. RNAcentral's name for it is "bacterial SSU rRNA". It matches the Rfam family "Bacterial small subunit ribosomal RNA", at positions 355 to 774 of the family's 1533-position model. The record is from RNAcentral.